RNAcentral lists this ribosomal RNA (253 nucleotides) under uncultured bacterium. RNAcentral describes it as "partial 16S ribosomal RNA". It matches the Rfam family "Bacterial small subunit ribosomal RNA", at positions 524 to 776 of the family's 1533-position model. The record is from RNAcentral.
UACGGAGGGUGCGAGCGUUAAUCGGAAUUACUGGGCGUAAAGGGCGCGUAGGCGGCACGAUCAGUCUGAUGUGAAAGCCCCGGGCUUAACCUGGGAACGGCAUUGGAUACUGUCGAGCUAGAGUUUGAUAGAGGGGAGUGGAAUUUCCGGUGUAGCGGUGAAAUGCGUAGAGAUCGGAAGGAACACCAGUGGCGAAGGCGACUCCCUGGAUUAAAACUGACGCUGAGGUGCGAAAGCGUGGGUAGCAAACAGG